CGCGUAGGUGGUUCGUUAAGUUGGAUGUGAAAUCCCCGGGCUCAACCUGGGAACUGCAUUCAAAGCUGUCGAGCUAGAGUAUGGUAGAGGGUGGUGGAAUUUCCUGUGUAGCGGUGAAAUGCGUAGAUAUAGGAAGGAACACCAGUGGCGAAGGCGACCACCUGGACUGAUACUGACACUGAGGUGCGAAAGCGUGGGGAGCAAACA
RNAcentral lists this ribosomal RNA (207 nucleotides) under uncultured bacterium. RNAcentral's name for it is "partial 16S ribosomal RNA". It matches the Rfam family "Bacterial small subunit ribosomal RNA", at positions 568 to 774 of the family's 1533-position model. The record is from RNAcentral.